RNAcentral lists this microRNA precursor (76 nucleotides) under Ovis aries (sheep). RNAcentral describes it as "miRNA (ENSOARG00000021368.1)". The record is from RNAcentral. Lineage: Eukaryota; Metazoa; Chordata; Mammalia; Artiodactyla; Bovidae.
ACUGCGUUGGCCAAAUUGUUCAUUUGGGUUUUUCCAUAACAUGGAAAAACUUGAGUGAACUUUUGGGCUAACCCAG